Molecule: ribosomal RNA, 675 nt
Filed under: uncultured metazoan
Lineage: Eukaryota; Metazoa
Description: SSU rRNA
Rfam family: Eukaryotic small subunit ribosomal RNA
Source: RNAcentral
AUUCCAGCUCCAAUAGCGUAUAUUAAAGUUGUUGUGGUUAAAAAGCUCGUAGUUGGAUUUCGGCGGGUAUAGGUUGGUUUGAAUUGCUUCAAUACUGACUUUUUUACCCGUGUGUUUUGCCAGAAUUUAACGGGUGAUCUUCGCCGAUUGUCUGUUAGAACUGACAGGUUUACUUUGAAAAAAUUAGAGUGCUCAAAGCAAGCUUGAUUGCUUGAAUAUUCGUGCAUGGAAUAAUAGAAUAGGAAGUCGUUUCUAUUUUGUUGGUUUUCGGAAAUCGACUUAAUGAUUAAUAGGGACAGUCGGGGGCAUUUGUAUUCAAACGACAGAGGUGAAAUUCUUGGACCGUUUGAAGACAAACUACUGCGAAAGCAUUUGCCAAGAAUGUUUUCAUUAAUCAAGAACGAAAGUUAGAGGUUCGAAGGCGAUUAGAUACCGCCCUAGUUCUAACCAUAAACGAUGCCAGCUAGCGAUCUGACGGCGUUUUAUUUUUGACUUGUCAGGGAGCUUCCGGGAAACCAAAGCUUGUGGGUUCCAGGGGAAGUAUGGUUGCAAAGCUGAAACUUAAAGUAAUUGACGGAAGGGCACCACCAGGAGUGGAGCCUGUGGCUUAAUUUGACUCAACACGGGAAAUCUCACCAGGCCCGGACACCAGAAGGAUUGACAGAUUGAUAGCUC